UCGAACGGUAGCACAGAGAGCUUGCUCUCGGGUGACGAGUGGCGGACGGGUGAGUAAUGUCUGGGAAACUGCCUGAUGGAGGGGGAUAACUACUGGAAACGGUAGCUAAUACCGCAUAACGUCGCAAGACCAAAGAGGGGGACCUUCGGGCCUCUUGCCAUCAGAUGUGCCCAGAUGGGAUUAGCUAGUAUGUGGGGUAACGGCUCACCUAGGCGACGAUCCCUAGCUGGUCUGAGAGGAUGACCAGCCACACUGGAACUGAGACACGGUCCAGACUCCUACGGGAGGCAGCAGUGGGGAAUAUUGCACAAUGGGCGCAAGCCUGAUGCAGCCAUGCCGCGUGUAUGAAGAAGGCCUUCGGGUUGUAAAGUACUUUCAGCGGGGAGGAAGGUGUUGCGGUUAAUAACCGCAGCAAUUGACGUUACCCGCAGAAGAAGCACCGGCUAACUCCGUGCCAGCAGCCGCGGUAAUACGGAGGGUGCAAGCGUUAAUCGGAAUUACUGGGCGUAAAGCGCACGCAGGCGGUCUGUCAAGUCGGAUGUGAAAUCCCCGGGCUCAACCUGGGAACUGCAUUCGAAACUGGCAGGCUAGAGUCUUGUAGAGGGGGGUAGAAUUCCAGGUGUAGCGGUGAAAUGCGUAGAGAUCUGGAGGAAUACCGGUGGCGAAGGCGGC
Molecule: ribosomal RNA, 672 nt
Filed under: uncultured Enterobacterales bacterium
Lineage: Bacteria; Pseudomonadati; Pseudomonadota; Gammaproteobacteria; Enterobacterales
Description: bacterial SSU rRNA
Rfam family: Bacterial small subunit ribosomal RNA
Source: RNAcentral